Molecule: non-coding RNA, 100 nt
Organism: Epilithonimonas sp.
Lineage: Bacteria; Pseudomonadati; Bacteroidota; Flavobacteriia; Flavobacteriales; Weeksellaceae
Source: Rfam
UUCUAAUUGGCGCAGCGCGUGAGCGAUGGUAGCGGCUAUCCUUUUGUCUGGAAAGGAAAGCAAUGGCGACAAAAGAUAAUAGUGGACAGCGCGACCCGAG